This 107-nucleotide small nuclear RNA is filed under the name Mus spretus (western wild mouse). The record is from RNAcentral. Lineage: Eukaryota; Metazoa; Chordata; Mammalia; Rodentia; Muridae.
GUGCUCGCUUUGGCAGGAUAUAUACUAAAAUUGGAACGAUACAGAGAAGAUUAGCAUGGCCCCUGCACAAGGAUGACAUCCAGAUUCGUGAAGCGUUCCAUAUUUUU